This is a long non-coding RNA of Lagenorhynchus albirostris (white-beaked dolphin), 1462 nucleotides long. RefSeq lists it as uncharacterized. The transcript has 4 exons. The record is from RefSeq and is a predicted model, not a curated record. Lineage: Eukaryota; Metazoa; Chordata; Mammalia; Artiodactyla; Delphinidae.
GGCAAGCGGCCAGGAUACUCACGAGGACAGCCACGCCCAGGAAGCAGACCCCGCCCACCACGCCGGCCAGCACUGGCUGGGGCAGGAGGCCCGGCAGCUGUGUGCGCGAGGGGUAGACCUCCAGGCCUGGGCAAAGGGCCACGGGGGAGGGUCGGUGUCCACGACUUAGUGGGCUUCGAGCCCCCCAAUCCCCAGGGCUCUGCCCUCCUGCCAGAUUCUCACCAGAAGUGGAGACGUUGGCCGUGUUGCUGGGAUCACUGACAUAGCUACCGGCGAAGGCCACAAGGCGGAACUCGUAGAGAACGUCCUGGGGGUUGGGGUCCAGGAAGGGGGUCAGGGCUCAGCACUGCCCACCCCCACCCCCGUUCGGAAAGACUUUGCAGUUGGAAGGAGCAGACAAGACGAUCUCGCUGAAGGGCCCGCUCCCCAGCUUGUUCUGAGCGAGGACGCUGAACUGGUAUUGGGUGUGGGGCUGCAAGCCUGGCACUAGGAGAGCGGAGGGCAGCCUGGUCCAAAUUAAAGGGUCGGGCCAGGCAGGAUAUCUUACUGUGUGGAGGUGACCGAUGCCCCACCUCCCCAGCACCAUCUCUGCAAAAACCUCUGUGAUGGCAUCUGACAGCUGCUGCCAUGGCCACCGUGGGAAACACAGACUGGGAAGCCCACCCCCCCUCCCCACAUGUGUCUGUCCCACCCGCCUCUGUCAGCCCGGUGUCAGCACUAGAGGGGCCACUACCAAUGGGGGUGAAGACUGGGACUGCAGACUCCAGGAGAGCCACUCACAGGGAAUCCAGUGUGCACGGCACACCCUGGGGUUGAGCUUCAAAGGUGUGGGUCUCCCGGCCUGCUGUCUUCCCAGCACUCCGAGAUUACAUCCUGCAUCUUCCACCCCAAAUCGGUUCUUCUUCCUGGCUUCCCUAGUUCUGUGUUAAAGGCUAACAUCCGACUCCUCACUCUGUCUCAGGCCCCACGUCUGUCCUCCUGGGAAGGCCUUUUGUCCCAUCUAUCUUCAUGUCCUCCUUUCUAGCUCAGGCCUCGUAACCUCUCACCCACACUCUCAUUUCAAUAGCCUCUGUACCUCCUCUGUCUGUCCAGUCUCUUCCUCUCCAUUCCUAUCACACCGUUGCCCAAGCAACUUCACUGCCUCCGAAUGCCUUUGGACUUUUUUUUUAAACCUUAGACAAAAAUUUAUUGAGCACCACUACAGUUGCAGUAGCCCUGGGGAGACUAGGAUUAAAAGAUGAAAUACUAGCCCACAAGGAAUUUGUGGUCUUUGCCGACAAACAAAAGAUCUCAAUCCCCGUGGAAUGAGGUAAUAUUAACUUGGCAUCCAUAGUUCCUCCUUUUGGUCCCAACCAGUCUUUCCAGAUUUCUCUGCACCAGUCACGUCCCCAUAGGCACUGUAGCUCCCCCCAGCUGGGAGACUCAUUAUGCCAUAAAUGCACUAUACUGUUCCUGCCCUGGU